GACGAACGCUGGCGGCGUGCUUAACACAUGCAAGUCGAACGGGAUCCAAUGGCUUUUUGUUUUUGGUGAGAGUGGCGAACGGGUGAGUAACACGUGAGUAACCUGCCCCCUUCUUUUGGAUAACCGCAUGAAAGUGUGGCUAAUACAGGAUAUUCCAGGCUGGUCGCAUGAUUGGUUUGGGAAAUGGUUUGGUCUGGUGGGGGAUGGGCUCGCGGCCUAUCAGCUUGUUGGUGGGGUGAUGGCCUACCAAGGCGGUGACGGGUAGCCGGCCUGAGAGGGUGGCCGGUCACACUGGGACUGAGAUACGGCCCAGACUCCUACGGGAGGCAGCAGUGGGGGAUUUUGCACAAUGGGCGCAAGCCUGAUGCAGCGACGCCGCGUGAGGGAUGAAGGCCUUCGGGUUGUAAACCUCUUUCGCUGGGUUGAAAGGCCAUGCUUUGGGUGUGGUUGAUUUGAACUGGUAAAGAAGUACCGGCUAACUACGUG
RNAcentral lists this ribosomal RNA (486 nucleotides) under uncultured bacterium. Its description in RNAcentral is "partial 16S ribosomal RNA". It matches the Rfam family "Bacterial small subunit ribosomal RNA", at positions 28 to 507 of the family's 1533-position model. The record is from RNAcentral.